AUGAACGCUGGCGGCGUGCCUAAUACAUGCAAGUCGAGCGAACAGACGAGGAGCUUGCUCCUCUGACGUUAGCGGCGGACGGGUGAGUAACACGUGGAUAACCUACCUAUAAGACUGGGAUAACUUCGGGAAACCGGAGCUAAUACCGGAUAAUAUAUUGAACCGCAUGGGUCAAUAGUGAAAGACGGUUUUGCUGUCACUUAUAGAUGGAUCCGCGCCGCAUUAGCUAGUUGGUAAGGUAACGGCUUACCAAGGCAACGAUGCGUAGCCGACCUGAGAGGGUGAUCGGCCACACUGGAACUGAGACACGGUCCAGACUCCUACGGGAGGCAGCAGUAGGGAAUCUUCCGCAAUGGGCGAAAGCCUGACGGAGCAACGUCGCGUGAGUGAUGAAGGUCUUCGGAUCGUAAAACUCUGUUAUUAGGGAAGAACAAAUGUGUAAGUAACUAUGCACGUCUUGACGGUACCUAAGCAGAAAGCCACGGCUAACUACGU
RNAcentral lists this ribosomal RNA (495 nucleotides) under uncultured bacterium. RNAcentral's name for it is "partial 16S ribosomal RNA". It matches the Rfam family "Bacterial small subunit ribosomal RNA", at positions 29 to 506 of the family's 1533-position model. The record is from RNAcentral.